AUAUCUCGGAGUAUGACACGAACAAGGACGGAGUCCUCGACCUAGACGAACUGGAGAAAGUCAUGAGUACUUGAGAUGCAAAAGAUUUCCUGGAAAUUGCUGAUGAUGACGGAGAUUUUGAGGUAACUGUUGAAGAGUUUAAGCGAGUCGUCAUGGAAUUGAACGAACAGCAAUGAGAAGAUUAACAUCAAAGAAGACCUACAGCUAUAGAGAGAUCUGAUCAGACGUCGACAUAAAUAAAAUAAAAAGUGAAUAUGCA
Molecule: long non-coding RNA, 259 nt
Organism: Gigantopelta aegis
Lineage: Eukaryota; Metazoa; Mollusca; Gastropoda; Neomphalida; Peltospiridae
Exons: 3
Source: RefSeq, a predicted model, not a curated record